RNAcentral lists this ribosomal RNA (468 nucleotides) under uncultured bacterium. Its description in RNAcentral is "partial 16S ribosomal RNA". It matches the Rfam family "Bacterial small subunit ribosomal RNA", at positions 28 to 507 of the family's 1533-position model. The record is from RNAcentral.
GACGAACGCUGGCGGCGUGCUUAACACAUGCAAGUCGAACGGAAAGGCCCUGCUUUUGUGGGGUGCUCGAGUGGCGAAAGGGUGAGUAACACGUGAGUAACCUGCCCUUGACUUUGGGAUAACUUCAGGGAACUGGGGCUAAUACCGGAUAGGAGCUCCUGCUGCAUGGUGGGGGUUGGAAAGUUUCGGCGGUUGGGGAUGGACUCGCGGCUUAUCAGCUUGUUGGUGGGGUAGUGGCUUACCAAGGCUUUGACGGGUAGCCGGCCUGAGAGGGUGACCGGCCACAUUGGGACUGAGAUACGGCCCAGACUCCUACGGGAGGCAGCAGUGGGGAAUUUUGCACAAUGGGCGGAAGCCUGAUGCAGCAACGCCGCGUGCGGGAUGACGGCCUUCGGGUUGUAAACCGCUUUCGCCUGUGACGAAGCGUGAGUGACGGUAAUGGGUAAAGAAGCACCGGCUAACUACGUG